CAAACAUACAUGCAUGGCCUCCUUCGCCUCCCGCAGGACCCGACGAACGGCCGCUGAUCUGCAGCGGAGACGGUAACGCGUGCGAACUGUGGUUUCAGCUGCCGGAGAGGAUCACUAAUGACUUCGUGUCAAGGGUGUUAACAAUGAACUGUAAACAUCCCCUUAUCCACUGGACCCGAGAUGUCUAUUUGACUUCUGCGCAUGAACAUCAGGACCGUGGGAUUGGCUACAUCUGAGAGACUUGGCCGUCUGUAAUUGAGCUGCGCAUGAAUAACUUCAUUGUUCUUUGAUCUUCAAAAAAGAAAGGCUAUAGGCAACCAAACAGACCCCCCCACCCCCCUUUUCCCCCCUUUGCAAGGAGCAGUGGAGAGGCCCAUUCAGACGGACCACAGAGCUUAUGCCUGCAGAAACAUGCAGCCCAUUCAUUCUGGAGAGAUAGCGUCACACUAAAAAGUCUAUAUUAAUGCGGCAAGCGGUGCUCUGAAUACAGAGGGCGAGUUCCUUCGUUCACUUGAAGCCGGGGGUGGAAAGGGCGUGCAAUAAAGCCAGCGAGCCAGUAGAUUUCCCUGCAGUGUGAUUCCCUCACCCUGCACACCUCCACACUGGACACAGACGUUAUAGGCACUGCAUAGUAGGAGGAUUAGCAGGAGUUUUUUAAUGUCAUCGUCGCAUUAUUCAUGGAGCAGGCGCGCGGGACUGGAACGUGCUUUGUGAGGGAAAUGUCGGCAGAAUCGUUUUUUAAUGUGGAACCCUGCAAUUUUUAGACAUGGAGACGAGUUGGCUUGUCAUGACGAGUAGCGCUCAGGCUGUGAGUGAACAGCUGGAUCCUUCCUGCUGUGGCUCUGAAGGGAGAUUUUUAAAGUCUAAGAAAAUAACCUCGAGACGUCGCGUUAGUUUUAAAGGCCGCGCCUUAAACUCCUCCCAAAUGUGAGUUUACCUGAUGCAUUCACCUCCUCUUUGAUUGUUUUGCUGCUCUCACCAAUUUCAUUGGAAAACGGGA
Gasterosteus aculeatus aculeatus (three-spined stickleback) is the source of this 1000-nucleotide long non-coding RNA. The record is from Ensembl. Lineage: Eukaryota; Metazoa; Chordata; Actinopteri; Perciformes; Gasterosteidae.